Molecule: ribosomal RNA, 467 nt
Filed under: uncultured bacterium
Lineage: Bacteria
Description: partial 16S ribosomal RNA
Rfam family: Bacterial small subunit ribosomal RNA
Source: RNAcentral
GACGAACGCUGGCGGCGUGCUUAACACAUGCAAGUCGAACGGAAAGGCCCUGCUUUUGUGGGGUGCUCGAGUGGCGAACGGGUGAGUAACACGUGAGUAACCUGCCCUUGACUUUGGGAUAACUUCAGGAAACUGGGGCUAAUACCGGAUAGGAGCUCCUGCUGCAUGGUGGGGGUUGGAAAGUUUCGGCGGUUGGGGAUGGACUCGCGGCUUAUCAGCUUGUUGGUGGGGUAGUGGCUUACCAAGGCUUUGACGGGUAGCCGGCCUGAGAGGGUGACCGGCCACAUGGGGGCUGAGAUACGGCCCAGACCCCUACGGGAGGCAGCAGUGGGGAAUAUUGCACAAUGGGGGGAAGCCGGAGGCAGCAACGCCGCGUGGGGGAUGACGGCCUUCGGGUUGGAAACCGCUUUCGCCUGUGACGAAGCGUGAGUGACGGUAAUGGGGAAAGAAGCACCGGCUAACUACGU